This 940-nucleotide long non-coding RNA is filed under the name Piliocolobus tephrosceles (Ugandan red Colobus). RNAcentral describes it as "lncRNA (ENSPTEG00000009561.1)". The record is from RNAcentral. Lineage: Eukaryota; Metazoa; Chordata; Mammalia; Primates; Cercopithecidae.
AUUUUUAUAUUCUUAUAUUCUUAUAUUUUUAUAUUCUUAUAUUUUUAUAUUCUUAUAUUUUUAUAUUCUUAUAUUCUUAUAUUUUUAUAUUCUUAUAUUCUUAUAUUUUUAUAUUCUUAUAUUUUUAUAUUCUUAUAUUUUUAUAUUCUUAUAUUCUUAUAUUUUUAUAUUCUUAUAUUCUUAUAUUUUUAUAUUCUUAUAUUCUUAUAUUCUUAUAUUUUUAUAUUCUUAUAUUUUUAUAUUCUUAUAGUUUAUUUUUAUUUUAUUUAUAACUUAUGUUUUAUGUUGAAUAUUCAUUUUAUACUUGUUUAUGUGGUUAUUAUUUUCUUCUUGUGUGAUCUUAUUUUGUUUUGUUCAAUUUUAUUCAAUUAUAUAUCUAUAUGUACAUGUAUAUGUAUAUAUGUAUUCACAUUUUUGUGUGUAAAUUCAUUUAUGCAGAAUGACAGUUUUAUAUGCUCAUUAAAUAUUAAUUCGGAUGAUAGUGACGUUCUUAAACAAAAUAUAAAAGGAGUCUGCAUAAGAGCACCUUACAUAAAAAAGAUUUUAUCCGAUAACGUAAAAGUUCUUGCAAACUUUUCACAUGAACCAGUCGGAUCAAACAUUAUAGGAGGUGAAAAACACGAUCAAUACAUAAAUAUAUAUAUAUAUAUAUAUAUAUAUAUAUGUGGUUUAUUGUUUAUGUGAAAAAUGUAUUAAUUUUAUUUCUUUACUUAUACAUAUAGACACUAUUUAUAUUUUGAAUUAUUUCUUUCGACAAUAUGCACAUACAUAUAUUCGCUUUUUUUUUUUUUUUUUUUUUUUUUUAAAAGGUGUUGAAGAAGACAAUUGUAUGGGGACUGUUUUUCAUCCAGAGUUAACGCCGUAUUAUUACUUUCACAAUUAUUUUUUAGAGAAGGUUAAAAAAAAUAAAAAAAAAUUAUGAUCAAAUUUAAAUAAUAUU